Molecule: small nuclear RNA, 104 nt
Filed under: Spermophilus dauricus (Daurian ground squirrel)
Lineage: Eukaryota; Metazoa; Chordata; Mammalia; Rodentia; Sciuridae
Source: RNAcentral
GUACUUGCUUUGGCAGCACAUAUACUAAAAUUGGAAGGAUACAGAAAUUAGUAUGGCCCCCAUGCAAAGAUGACAUGCAAAUUCAUGAAGCAUUCCAUAUUUUU